GAAAUAAGGUAUUCAGAGAUAGGCUUCUAACUUUUUCUCUUAGCAGUGAAAAUCUGUUAUUAUUUCU
RNAcentral lists this transfer RNA (67 nucleotides) under Aphodius foetens. RNAcentral describes it as "tRNA-Ser". The record is from RNAcentral. Lineage: Eukaryota; Metazoa; Arthropoda; Insecta; Coleoptera; Scarabaeidae.